AACCUGCCUGUAAGACUGGGAUAACUCCGGGAAACCGGGGCUAAUACCGGAUGCUUGUUUGAACCGCAUGGUUCAAACAUAAAAGGUGGCUUCGGCUACCACUUACAGAUGGACCCGCGGCGCAUUAGCUAGUUGGUGAGGUAAUGGCUCACCAAGGCAACGAUGCGUAGCCGACCUGAGAGGGUGAUCGGCCACACUGGGACUGAGACACGGCCCAGACUCCUACGGGAGGCAGCAGUAGGGAAUCUUCCGCAAUGGACGAAAGUCUGACGGAGCAACGCCGCGUGAGUGAUGAAGGUUUUCGGAUCGUAAAGCUCUGUUGUUAGGGAAGAACAAGUGCCGUUCAAAUAGGGCGGCACCUUGACGGUACCUAACCAGAAAGCCACGGCUAACUACGUGCCAGCAGCCGCGGUAAUACGUAGGUGGCAAGCGUUGUCCGGAAUUAUUGGGCGUAAAGGGCUCGCAGGCGGUUUCUUAAGUCUGAUGUGAAAGCCCCCGGCUCAACCGGGGAGGGUCAUUGGAAACUGGGGAACUUGAGUGCAGAAGAGGAGAGUGGAAUUCCACGUGUAGCGGUGAAAUGCGUAGAGAUGUGGAGGAACA
RNAcentral lists this ribosomal RNA (600 nucleotides) under Bacillus vallismortis. Its description in RNAcentral is "bacterial SSU rRNA". It matches the Rfam family "Bacterial small subunit ribosomal RNA", at positions 123 to 708 of the family's 1533-position model. Lineage: Bacteria; Bacillati; Bacillota; Bacilli; Caryophanales; Bacillaceae. The record is from RNAcentral.